This 229-nucleotide long non-coding RNA is filed under the name Elaeis guineensis (African oil palm). RNAcentral's name for it is "long non-coding RNA (EGUI_LNC038331)". The record is from RNAcentral. Lineage: Eukaryota; Viridiplantae; Streptophyta; Magnoliopsida; Arecales; Arecaceae.
GCUCAAAUAAUGGUAUUUCACAUUGACCAUUUCAUGUGCAAACAGAAGGAUGUCGUGAAAGAAGAAGAAGAAGAAGCGAAGAGAAAAGAUGGCAGUCAUGACAAAUAGUAAAAGCGGCAGCAGCAGCAGCAGAGGAGUUGGUGGUGCCGUGGUGGUAUAGCAAGGGCACACUAAUGCUCAAAAGAAAUAGCCAUACAGCCACUCCAUAAACAUGUUUCCAUCAUUGGGC